RNAcentral lists this unclassified non-coding RNA (277 nucleotides) under root metagenome. RNAcentral's name for it is "partial contains small subunit ribosomal RNA, internal transcribed spacer 1, and 5.8S ribosomal RNA". The record is from RNAcentral.
UUUCCGUAGGUGAACCUGCGGAAGGAUCAUUAUCGUGCAAAACGUGUGAGAGGUGCACCUCGAGGUUGUCGCUGAUGCUCGUGCACGCCGGAGCAUGUCCUCUCACAUGACACAAUCCAUCUCACCCUUUGUGCACCACCGCGUGGGCACCCUUCGGGAUCAGACCGAUCUCUCAGGGGACUCGCGUUUUCACACAACACACCCCCCUUUUAAAAAGUGUAGAAUGACCUCAUUUAUUUGAUCAGUACAACUUUCAACAACGGAUCUCUUGGCUCUC